GAUGAACGCUGGCGGCGUGCCUAAUACAUGCAAGUCGAGCGAACGGACGAGAAGCUUGCUUCUCUGAUGUUAGCGGCGGACGGGUGAGUAACACGUGGAUAACCUACCUAUAAGACUGGGAUAACUUCGGGAAACCGGAGCUAAUACCGGAUAAUAUUUUGAACCGCAUGGUUCAAAAGUGAAAGACGGUCUUGCUGUCACUUAUAGAUGGAUCCGCGCUGCAUUAGCUAGUUGGUAAGGUAACGGCUUACCAAGGCAACGAUGCAUAGCCGACCUGAGAGGGUGAUCGGCCACACUGGAACGGAGACACGGUCCAGACUCCUACGGGAGGCAGCAGUAGGGAAUCUUCCGCAAAGGGCGAAAGCCUGACGGAGCAACGCCGCGUGAGUGAUGAAGGUCUUCGGAUCGUAAAACUCUGUUAUUAGGGAAGAACAUAUGUGUAAGUAACUGUGCACAUCUUGACGGUACCUAAUCAGAAAGCCACGGCUAACUACGUG
This 497-nucleotide ribosomal RNA is filed under the name uncultured bacterium. RNAcentral's name for it is "partial 16S ribosomal RNA". It matches the Rfam family "Bacterial small subunit ribosomal RNA", at positions 28 to 507 of the family's 1533-position model. The record is from RNAcentral.